GUUUCUGUAGUGCAGUGGUUAUCACGUUUGCCUCACAUGCGAAAGGUCCCCAGUUUGAAACCAGGUGGAAACA
Transfer RNA from Ovis aries (sheep), 73 nucleotides. It matches the Rfam family "tRNA". Rfam says of the family: Transfer RNA (tRNA) molecules are approximately 80 nucleotides in length. Lineage: Eukaryota; Metazoa; Chordata; Mammalia; Artiodactyla; Bovidae. The record is from Rfam.